AUUAGUGGCGAACGGGUGAGUAACACGUGAGUAACCUGCCCCUGACUCUGGGAUAAGCGUUGGAAACGACGUCUAAUACUGGAUAUGAUCACUGGCCGCAUGGUCUGGUGGUGGAAAGAUUUUUUGGUUGGGGAUGGACUCGCGGCCUAUCAGCUUGUUGGUGAGGUAAUGGCUCACCAAGGCGACGACGGGUAGCCGGCCUGAGAGGGUGACCGGCCACACUGGGACUGAGACACGGCCCAGACUCCUACGGGAGGCAGCAGUGGGGAAUAUUGCACAAUGGGCGAAAGCCUGAUGCAGCAACGCCGCGUGAGGGAUGACGGCCUUCGGGUUGUAAACCUCUUUUAGUAGGGAAGAAGCGAAAGUGACGGUACCUGCAGAAAAAGCACCGGCUAACUACGUGCCAGCAGCCGCGGUAAUACGUAGGGUGCAAGCGUUGUCCGGAAUUAUUGGGCGUAAAGAGCUCGUAGGCGGUUUGUCGCGUCUGCUGUGAAAUCCCGAGGCUCAACCUCGGGCUUGCAGUGGGUACGGGCAGACUAGAGUGCGGUAGGGGAGAUUGGAAUUCCUGGUGUAGCGGUGGAAUGCGCAGAUAUCAGGAGGAACACCGAUGGCGAAGGCAGAUCUCUGGGCCGUAACUGACGCUGAGGAGCGAAAGCGUGGGGAGCGAACAGGAUUAGAUACCCUGGUAGUCCACGCCGUAAACGUUGGGCGCUAGAUGUAGGGACCUUUCCACGGUUUCUGUGUCGUAGCUAACGCAUUAAGCGCCCCGCCUGGGGAGUACGGCCGCAAGGCUAAAACUCAAAGGAAUUGACGGGGGCCCGCACAAGCGGCGGAGCAUGCGGAUUAAUUCGAUGCAACGCGAAGAACCUUACCAAGGCUUGACAUACACCGGAAACGGCCAGAGAUGGUCGCCCCCUUGUGGUCGGUGUACAGGUGGUGCAUGGUUGUCGUCAGCUCGUGUCGUGAGAUGUUGGGUUAAGUCCCGCAACGAGCGCAACCCUCGUUCUAUGUUGCCAGCGCGUUAUGGCGGGGACUCAUAGGAGACUGCCGGGGUCAACUCGGAGGAAGGUGGGGAUGACGUCAAAUCAUCAUGCCCCUUAUGUCUUGGGCUUCACGCAUGCUACAAUGGCCGGUACAAAGGGCUGCGAUACCGUAAGGUGGAGCGAAUCCCAAAAAGCCGGUCUCAGUUCGGAUUGAGGUCUGCAACUCGACCUCAUGAAGUCGGAGUCGCUAGUAAUCGCAGAUCAG
RNAcentral lists this ribosomal RNA (1248 nucleotides) under Curtobacterium sp. LLL-9. RNAcentral describes it as "bacterial SSU rRNA". It matches the Rfam family "Bacterial small subunit ribosomal RNA", at positions 91 to 1352 of the family's 1533-position model. The record is from RNAcentral. Lineage: Bacteria; Bacillati; Actinomycetota; Actinomycetes; Micrococcales; Microbacteriaceae.